RNAcentral lists this unclassified non-coding RNA (339 nucleotides) under soil metagenome. RNAcentral's name for it is "partial contains 5.8S ribosomal RNA, internal transcribed spacer 2, and large subunit ribosomal RNA". The stretch from base 1 to 120 matches the Rfam family "5.8S ribosomal RNA", at positions 35 to 154 of the family's 154-position model. The record is from RNAcentral.
GAUGAAGAACGUAGCGAAAUGCGAUACGUAGUGUGAAUUGCAGAAUUCAGUGAAUCAUCGAAUCUUUGAACGCACAUUGCACCUCUCGGUAUUCCGGGAGGUAUGCCUGUUCGAGCGUCAUUUGUUCCCUCAAGCUCUGCUUGGUGUUGGGUGUUUGUUCCGCCUCUGUGUGUGAACUCGCCUCAAAACAAUUGGCAGCCGGCGUACUUGUUUCGGAGCGCAGCACAUUUUGCGAUCCAGAUCAACGUACAGCGGCAUCCAAGAAGCCUUAUUUAACGCUCUUGACCUCGGAUCAGGUAGGGAUACCCGCUGAACUUAAGCAUAUCAAUAAGCGGAGGA